GGUCCAGACUCCUACGGGAGGCAGCAGUGGGGAAUCUUCCGCAAUGGGCGAAAGCCUGACGGAGCAACGCCGCGUGAUCGAAUGAAGGCCUUCGGGUUGUAAAGAUCUGUUGACAGGGACGAAUAAGCAAUGCGAAUAGUUUUGUGUAUGACGGUACCUGUUUAGAAAGCUCCGGCUAACUACGUGCCAGCAGCCGCGGUAAUACGUAGGGAGCAAGCGUUGUCCGGAUUUACUGGGUGUAAAGGGCGUGCAGCCGGGAAGACAAGUCAGAUGUGAAAUCCCGCGGCUCAACCGCGGAACUGCAUUUGAAACUGUUUUUCUUGAGUAUCGGAGAGGUAAUCGGAAUUCCUAGUGUAGCGGUGAAAUGCGU
This 370-nucleotide ribosomal RNA is filed under the name uncultured bacterium. Its description in RNAcentral is "bacterial SSU rRNA". It matches the Rfam family "Bacterial small subunit ribosomal RNA", at positions 328 to 691 of the family's 1533-position model. The record is from RNAcentral.